AAAGUUAAUUAAAACAGUCGCUUUUAUUAAUUAAUAAAAGAGGAAAGUCCGGACUCCGUAGGGUAUGGUGCCAGAUAAUUACUGGGAAGUUUAAACUUACGAAUAGUGCAACAGAAAAAAUACCGCCAUAUUCUAAAAUAUGGUAAGGGUGAAAAGGUAUGGUAAAAGCAUACCGGUAUAUUAGUAAUAAUAUAUGUCAAUGUAAACUCCACCAGGAGCAAGGCUAAAUAAGGUUCGUAUUACCCGUACUAUGAAUCUGGGUAAGCUGCUUGAAAUAAUAAGUGAUUAUUAUUCUAGAUAAAUGACUGUUCUAGACAGAAUCCGGCUUAAUAAUUAACUUUAUAA
Molecule: RNase P RNA, 345 nt
Filed under: Enterobacteriaceae endosymbiont of Donacia cinerea
Lineage: Bacteria; Pseudomonadati; Pseudomonadota; Gammaproteobacteria; Enterobacterales; Enterobacteriaceae
Description: RNase P RNA component class A
Rfam family: Bacterial RNase P class A
About the family: Ribonuclease P (RNase P) is a ubiquitous endoribonuclease, found in archaea, bacteria and eukarya as well as chloroplasts and mitochondria. Its best characterised activity is the generation of mature 5'-ends of tRNAs by cleaving the 5'-leader elements of precursor-tRNAs. Cellular RNase Ps are ribonucleoproteins.
Source: RNAcentral